RNAcentral lists this ribosomal RNA (1358 nucleotides) under metagenome. Its description in RNAcentral is "bacterial SSU rRNA". It matches the Rfam family "Bacterial small subunit ribosomal RNA", at positions 8 to 1370 of the family's 1533-position model. The record is from RNAcentral.
AGAGUUUGAUCCUGGCUCAGAUUGAACGCUGGCGGCACGCUUAACACAUGCAAGUCGAACGGUUUAUGGGGCAACCUAGAAGUCGUGGCGUACGGGUGAGUAAAGCGUAGGGAUCUGCCUAGUAGAAUGGGAUAACCUAGGGAAACUUAGGAUAAUACCGUAUAAGUUCGGAAGAAGAAAGCCAUGCGCAAGUUGGGCGCUAUUAGAUGAACCUACGUCGGAUUAGCUAGUUGGUGGGGUAAAGGCCUACCAAGGCGAUGAUCUGUAGCUGGUCUGAGAGGACGGACAGCCACACUGGGACUGAGACACGGCCCAGACUCCUACGGGAGGCAGCAGUGGGGAAUAUUGGACAAUGGGCGCAAGCCUGAUCCAGCGAUGCCGCGUGUGUGAAGAAGGCCUACGGGUUGUAAAGCACUUUCGGUAGGGGAGAAGUAUGGUGCAUGAAUACUGUGUCAUGUUGACGUUACUUACAGAAGAAGCACCGGCUAACUCUGUGCCAGCAGCCGCGGUAAUACAGAGGGUGCAAGCGUUAAUCGGAAUUACUGGGCGUAAAGGGUGUGUAGGUGGUUAUUUAAGUCGUGUGUGAAAACCCCGAGCUUAACUUGGGACGUGCGCAUGAUACUGAAUGACUAGAGUACAGUAGAGGAUAGCGGAAUUUCCGGUGUAGCGGUGAAAUGCGUAGAUAUCGGAAGGAACAUCAGUGGCGAAGGCGGCUAUCUGGACUGAAACUGACACUGAGACACGAAAGCGUGGGUAGCAAACAGGAUUAGAUACCCUGGUAGUCCAUGCUGUAAACAAUGAAAACUUGCUGUUGGUACCUAUAGGGUAUUAGUAGCGUAGCUAACGCGAUAAGUUUUCCGCCUGGGGAGUACGGCCGCAAGGUUAAAACUCAAAGGAAUUGACGGGGGCCCGCACAAGCGGUGGAGCAUGUGGUUUAAUUCGAUGCAACGCGCAAAACCUUACCUACUCUUGUAUCCCUGGAAACCAGCGGAGAUGUUGGUGUGCCGCAAGGAACCAGGAGACAGGUGCCGCAUGGCUGUCGUCAGCUCGUGUUGUGAGAUGUUGGGUUAAGUCCCGUAACGAGCGCAACCCUUAUUCUUAAUUGCCAACAGGUAAAGCUGGGAACUUUAAGAAGACUGCCGGUGAUGAACCGGAGGAAGGCGGGGAUGAGGUCAAGUCAUCAUGGCCCUUACGAGUAGGGCUACACACGUGCUACAAUGGUAAAUACAGAAGGAAGCCAAAUCGCGAGAUGGAGCAAAUCCUGUAAAGUUUAUCUUAGUCCGGAUUGGAGUCUGCAACUCGACUCCAUGAAGUUGGAACCGCUAGUAAUCGCAGAUCAGCACGCUGCGGUGAAUACG